CCUACGGGUGGCAGCAGUGGGGAAUAUUGGACAAUGGGGGGAACCCUGAUCCAGCCAUGCCGCGUGUGUGAAGAAGGCCCUCGGGUUGUAAAGCACUUUCAGUGAGGAAGAACGCCUGGUGGUUAAUACCCAUCAGGAAAGACAUCACUCACAGAAGAAGCACCGGCUAACUCCGUGCCAGCAGCCGCGGUAAUACGGAGGGUGCGAGCGUUAAUCGGAAUUACUGGGCGUAAAGCGCGCGUAGGUGGCUUGAUAAGCCGGUUGUGAAAGCCCCGGGCUCAACCUGGGAACGGCAUCCGGAACUGUCAAGCUAGAGUGCAGGAGAGGAAGGUAGAAUUCCCGGUGUAGCGGUGAAAUGCGUAGAGAUCGGGAGGAAUACCAGUGGCGAAGGCGGCCUUCUGGACUGACACUGACACUGAGGUGCGAAAGCGUGGGUAGCAAACCGGAUUAGAUACCCCUGUAGUC
RNAcentral lists this ribosomal RNA (465 nucleotides) under Vreelandella stevensii. Its description in RNAcentral is "partial 16S ribosomal RNA". It matches the Rfam family "Bacterial small subunit ribosomal RNA", at positions 338 to 795 of the family's 1533-position model. Lineage: Bacteria; Pseudomonadati; Pseudomonadota; Gammaproteobacteria; Oceanospirillales; Halomonadaceae. The record is from RNAcentral.